This 516-nucleotide long non-coding RNA is filed under the name Medicago truncatula (barrel medic). Its description in RNAcentral is "long non-coding RNA (MTRU_LNC002971)". The record is from RNAcentral. Lineage: Eukaryota; Viridiplantae; Streptophyta; Magnoliopsida; Fabales; Fabaceae.
UGAAGUAAUGAAAAUUUUGUAAAAAAAUAAAAAUUCUUAUGAUUGGUAACUAUUCUACGUGACCUUCUUACUAAGUGUGACAAAGGGACAAAACAACACACUGUUGUACUUAAGUGGGAUAGAGAGAUAAAAUACCAUAUUGUUACGUAAGAGACAUUUAAUCUUAUUCAUAUUUUAUGAAGUUUUUUUUACAACUCUAUAAACCCUAAAAUCUAUAAAACUGGUGUAAGAAGAGCAUGAAGUUUAUAAAUCAUAAAGUAUAAUUCUAUUUUAUACAUGCAAAGAGUGUAAAAUAUGGCUGGAAUUUUCAUGUUUGUUUAUGUUAUGAUUAUCUUCCUUUGCCUAUUUCAUGAAGUUGAAAUGAGCUUUACAGGUAAAUCAUUUUUCAUCCUUUUCAAAUUUUAUUUCUUACUUCAUACGCAAAAUUUUAUCCCAUUUUUGUAACAAUAUUUUUUUCUUCUCUUUUUUAUUGCAGAGUAUAAUCUAUGUGCUCCUGCGAGUUCUCCAUGUCGUAUU